RNAcentral lists this ribosomal RNA (256 nucleotides) under uncultured bacterium. Its description in RNAcentral is "partial 16S ribosomal RNA". It matches the Rfam family "Bacterial small subunit ribosomal RNA", at positions 524 to 776 of the family's 1533-position model. The record is from RNAcentral.
UACGGAGGGUGCAAGCGUUAUCCGGAUUCACUGGGUUUAAAGGGUGCGUAGGUGGGCUUGUAAGUCAGUGGUGAAAUCUCCGGGCUUAACUCGGAAACUGCCAUUGAUACUAUAAGUCUUGAAUACCAUGGAGGUGAGCGGAAUAUGUCAUGUAGCGGUGAAAUGCUUAGAUAUAUGGAAGAACAUCAAUAACGGCGAAGGCAGUUAACUAUUCUGUUACUGACGUUGAGGCACGAAAGCGUGGGGAGCAAAACGG